This 76-nucleotide transfer RNA is filed under the name Mycobacterium talmoniae. Its description in RNAcentral is "tRNA-Phe". It matches the Rfam family "tRNA". Rfam says of the family: Transfer RNA (tRNA) molecules are approximately 80 nucleotides in length. Their secondary structure includes four short double-helical elements and three loops (D, anti-codon, and T loops). Lineage: Bacteria; Bacillati; Actinomycetota; Actinomycetes; Mycobacteriales; Mycobacteriaceae. The record is from RNAcentral.
GCCGUCGUAGCUCAACCGGGAGAGCGCCGAUCUGAAAUGUCGGAGGUCGCUGGUUCGACACCAGCCGUCGGCACCA